Molecule: ribosomal RNA, 522 nt
Filed under: Staphylococcus epidermidis
Lineage: Bacteria; Bacillati; Bacillota; Bacilli; Caryophanales; Staphylococcaceae
Description: bacterial SSU rRNA
Rfam family: Bacterial small subunit ribosomal RNA
Source: RNAcentral
UAAUUGAAGAGUUUGAUCAUGGCUCAGAUUGAACGCUGGCGGCAGGCUUAACACAUGCAAGUCGAGCGGUAGCACAGGGGAGCUUGCUCCCUGGGUGACGAGCGGCGGACGGGUGAGUAAUGUCUGGGAAACUGCCUGAUGGAGGGGGAUAACUACUGGAAACGGUAGCUAAUACCGCAUAACGUCGCAAGACCAAAGAGGGGGACCUUCGGGCCUCUUGCCAUCAGAUGUGCCCAGAUGGGAUUAGCUAGUAGGUGGGGUAAUGGCUCACCUAGGCGACGAUCCCUAGCUGGUCUGAGAGGAUGACCAGCCACACUGGAACUGAGACACGGUCCAGACUCCUACGGGAGGCAGCAGUGGGGAAUAUUGCACAAUGGGCGCAAGCCUGAUGCAGCCAUGCCGCGUGUGUGAAGAAGGCCUUCGGGUUGUAAAGCACUUUCAGCGAGGAGGAAGGUGGUGAACUUAAUACGUUCAUCAAUUGACGUUACUCGCAGAAGAAGCACCGGCUAACUCCGUGCCAGC